UAUUAUGACAAGGGGAGAAAA
Caenorhabditis elegans is the source of this 21-nucleotide non-coding RNA. NCBI's taxonomy places the organism in Eukaryota, Metazoa, Nematoda, Chromadorea, Rhabditida, Rhabditidae. The record is from Ensembl.